UGGGGAAUUUUGGACAAUGGGGGAAACCCUGAUCCAGCCAUGCCGCGUGAGUGAAGAAGGCCUUCGGGUUGUAAAGCUCUUUCAGCCGGAACGAAACGGUCACGGCUAAUACCUGUGAUCACUGACGGUACCGGAAGAAGAAGCACCGGCUAACUACGUGCCAGCAGCCGCGGUAAUACGUAGGGUGCGAGCGUUAAUCGGAAUUACUGGGCGUAAAGCGUGCGCAGGCGGUUUUGUAAGUCAGAUGUGAAAUCCCCGGGCUUAACCUGGGAACUGCGUUUGAAACUACAAGGCUAGAGUGUAGCAGAGGGGGGUGGAAUUCCGCGUGUAGCAGUGAAAUGCGUAGAGAUGUGGAGGAACACCGAUGGCGAAGGCAGCCCCCUGGGUUAACACUGACGCUCAGGCACGAAAGCGUGGGGAGCAAACAGGAUUAGAUACCCCAGGUAGUCCACGCCCUAAACUAUGUCAACUAGUUGUCGGGCCUUAAGGGCUUGGUAACGCAGCUAACGCGUGAAGUUCG
This 520-nucleotide ribosomal RNA is filed under the name uncultured Pseudomonadota bacterium. Its description in RNAcentral is "bacterial SSU rRNA". It matches the Rfam family "Bacterial small subunit ribosomal RNA", at positions 355 to 868 of the family's 1533-position model. The record is from RNAcentral. Lineage: Bacteria; Pseudomonadati; Pseudomonadota.